This 845-nucleotide long non-coding RNA is filed under the name Marmota monax (woodchuck). The record is from RNAcentral. Lineage: Eukaryota; Metazoa; Chordata; Mammalia; Rodentia; Sciuridae.
AGCGGGGUCGCCCCCGAGGGUGGCCGGGCUCGAGGCCGGUUGUCCCCCAGUCACUUCCCUGCCAACUGGGCCAGUAACAGCUUGGAGACUUUCCAGUUUGUUUCGUGGGGACCGAGUUGAUACUUGGGGCUGAGGGAAAUUUGGGGGUUUGGGACUGUCAUUGGAACCCUCCCCUCCGCGGGAAUGGGCACCGGGCACACACAAAACACACGCCCCUGCGGCCUUUUCCCGCAAGUGUUUUCACCUGAAGGAUCUUUAAUCUUGCAAAGAGAAUAUACAGAAAGCAAUGUCCAAAAGCUACCUUUUAAAACAACACUGAAAAUUAAGUAUCGUGUUACAGGAGGGCCAUUUUUAACUGAAAACGUCCAUGCCUGGAAGGCUAUGCUGGAUUCUGGACUCGAAUUUGCAUUCUUCUAAAUCUCUCAUUGCAAUGAGCUGCGCCUGGAGGAUUCAGUUGUAGGGCUUUAAAUUUAAACGUAUACCCCUCUAGCAACUGUAAGGAUCGCGCUGCCAAAGGACCCACUCACAAACAGAAGGCCACCAGCUUCUCAGUCAUUCUCUGGCUUGAGAGUAUUUUUAACUGAGGUGGAGUCGGUCAUGUGUUGGUGAGUUUAAUCAAAUUGACAAGGGCUCUGAGCGAGAGAAGCUUGCUGUCUAAUUCGAAGACAACAUUAGGUACAUAGAGAAGCAUUCUCUUUGGACUUAUUUGAAUCAGAGCUUUUCAAAUGGAGUCUUCUGCAUAUAUUUUUCUCGAUCUGCUGCAACUGGAAAAUUUUAAAAUCAAACCCCUAUUUCUUGUAUUCAUUUUUAUGGUAAAUGUGCUGGUAAAUGUAUCUGGGCCGAGA